UACGUAGGGUGCAAGCGUUGUCCGGAAUUAUUGGGCGUAAAGAGCUCGUAGGCGGUUUGUCGCGUCUGCUGUGAAAACUCGGGGCUUAACUCCGGGCCUGCAGUGGGUACGGGCAGACUAGAGUGCGGUAGGGGAGACUGGAAUUCCUGGUGUAGCGGUGAAAUGCGUAGAUAUCGUAAGGAAGACCAGUGGCGAAGGCAGCUCGCUGGGACGUUACUGACACUGAGGCGCGAAAGCGUGGGGAGCGAACAGG
This 253-nucleotide ribosomal RNA is filed under the name uncultured bacterium. RNAcentral describes it as "partial 16S ribosomal RNA". It matches the Rfam family "Bacterial small subunit ribosomal RNA", at positions 524 to 776 of the family's 1533-position model. The record is from RNAcentral.